GAUUGCAGGCUGCAACUCGCCUGUAUGAAGUUGGAAUUGCUAGUAAUCGCGGAUCAGCAUGCCGCGGUGAAUACGUUCCCGGGCCUUGUACACACCGCCCGUCACACCAUGAGAGCCGGUAAUACCCGAAGUCAGUAUCCUAACCGCAAGGAGGGAGCUGCCGAAGGUAGGAUUGGCGAUUGGGGUGAAGUCGUAACAAGGUAAC
RNAcentral lists this ribosomal RNA (205 nucleotides) under uncultured bacterium. RNAcentral describes it as "partial 16S ribosomal RNA". It matches the Rfam family "Bacterial small subunit ribosomal RNA", at positions 1296 to 1500 of the family's 1533-position model. The record is from RNAcentral.